This 460-nucleotide ribosomal RNA is filed under the name uncultured bacterium. RNAcentral describes it as "partial 16S ribosomal RNA". It matches the Rfam family "Bacterial small subunit ribosomal RNA", at positions 338 to 795 of the family's 1533-position model. The record is from RNAcentral.
CCUACGGGAGGCUGCAGUGAGGAAUAUUGGUCAAUGGGCGAGAGCCUGAACCAGCCAAGUCGCGUGAAGGAUGAAGGAUCUAUGGUUUGUAAACUUCUUUUAUAUGGGAAUAAAGUGAGGAACGUGUUCCUUUUUGUAUGUACCAUAUGAAUAAGCAUCGGCUAACUCCGUGCCAGCAGCCGCGGUAAUACGGAGGAUGAGAGCGUUAUCCGGAUUUAUUGGGUUUAAAGGGUGCGUAGGUGGUUCAUUAAGUCAGCGGUGAAAGUUUGUGGCUUAACCAGAGAAUUGCCGUUGAAACUGGUUGACUUGAGUAUAUUUGAGGUAGGCGGAAUGCGUGGUGUAGCGGUGAAAUGCAUAGAUAUCACGAAGAACUCCGGUGGCGAAGGCAGCUUACUGGACUAUAACUGACGCUGAGGUACGAAAGCGUGGGGAUCAAACAGGAUUAGAUACCCGAGUAGUC